GUUUGGCAUGUCUGGUUUAUACUGCUCUAUGUACAAUACACCGAAAUACCCUGAUCCUGUGAUGUGAUGGGGCUCCCUGUGGACACUGCUGCCAGCCUACAUGCAUCAAAUUGCAGGAUUGGGCCAUAGAUGGGAUUAGUAAUUCACAACCUCUAGAUCUUGUGUGGAAACUAGGAUAGCAGCAAACUCCAGGAUGCACCUAAAAAGUGUACUGACCUGCCUUGCUUGUAAACUUUACAUAUGUAACAGUGGUGACAUCUAGUGGUCAGCUUUUGACCAUGGUCAACAUCACAUUAUCUUAAUUCCUCUGUCCCAUGGCAGAUGCUAGAAUAGUAGUUGAUUGUUUAUAAUGUAGCUAGUAGUCACUGCAUGAUAGGAUGUAAUGAACAAUAUUGUUUGGA
Chrysemys picta bellii (western painted turtle) is the source of this 401-nucleotide long non-coding RNA. RefSeq lists it as uncharacterized. Lineage: Eukaryota; Metazoa; Chordata; Testudines; Emydidae. The record is from RefSeq and is a predicted model, not a curated record.